RNAcentral lists this ribosomal RNA (460 nucleotides) under uncultured bacterium. RNAcentral's name for it is "partial 16S ribosomal RNA". It matches the Rfam family "Bacterial small subunit ribosomal RNA", at positions 338 to 795 of the family's 1533-position model. The record is from RNAcentral.
CCUACGGGAGGCAGCAGUGGGGAAUAUUGGUCAAUGGACGAGAGUCUGAACCAGCCACGUAGCGUGAAGGAUGAAUGCCCUAGGGGUUGUAAACUUCUUUUAUAAAGGAAUAAAACGAGGCACGUGUGCCUUUUUGCAUGUACUUUAUGAAUAAGGAUCGGCUAACUCCGUGCCAGCAGCCGCGGUAAUACGGAGGAUCCGAGCGUUAUCCGGAUUUAUUGGGUUUAAAGGGAGCGUAGAUGGGUUGUUAAGUCAGUUGUGAAAGUUGGCGGCUUAACCGUAAAAUUGCAAUUGAUACUGGCAGGCUGGAGUACAGUUGAGGUAAGCGGAAUUCGUGGUGUAGCGGUGAAAUGCUUAGAUAUCACGAAGAACUCCGAUUGCGAAGGCAGCUUACUAAACUGCCACUGACAUUGAUGCUCGAAAGUGUGGGUAUCAAACAGGAUUAGAUACCCUAGUAGUC